CUCGAACGUUAAACGGAAUCACUAAACUUAAAGCGUGUGUAGACAAACCAGUAAGUAUCUUGUGAAAUCCCACGACUCAACCGUGGAACUACUAGGCAUACUGCGGAUCUUAGACCAACUAGAAGCAGCCGGAACAAGCGGUGGAGCGGUGAAAUACGUAGAUAUCGCUUGGAACGCCGAAGGUGAAAACAGGCUGCUAAGGUUGCGCCGACGCUGAGACACGAAAGCCAGAAAAGCAAACAGG
Molecule: ribosomal RNA, 244 nt
Filed under: uncultured bacterium
Lineage: Bacteria
Description: partial 16S ribosomal RNA
Rfam family: Bacterial small subunit ribosomal RNA
Source: RNAcentral